AAGUCGUAACAAGGUUUCCGUAGGUGAACCUGCGGAAGGAUCAUUAACACGUAUCCAACGUUAAACAACCCUGUGAACCUUGAACGUGCUCCUGCGGCCCCAUGAAAUCAGCAAUCCCUGGUAAAUCAUAGUGAACAGCUUUGAUUCAGAGACCUCUGAAUAACCUUGGGCGGUCGCGGUUGGUAAGGCAAGUGACCCGGUACCCUCAAGACCAGUGUUCAAUGAUCUGUCAGUGUUCAUUGACUGGAAUCACUCGUUCUGUCAGUGUGCGUUUGAUUUGCAAGGGUGGCGCAGUAAACGAUCGCUGGAGGCCGACACGGCCGGCGACUGGGUCAGCGAGCUCUGCUCCCACUGUUACUACUUACAAGAUUUCCCAAUUAGUGAAAGCUAUUGGGCUAUAACUAAACGACUGUUAACAAUGGAUAUCUCGAUUCUC
Molecule: unclassified non-coding RNA, 436 nt
Filed under: fungal sp.
Lineage: Eukaryota; Fungi
Description: partial internal transcribed spacer region
Rfam family: Eukaryotic small subunit ribosomal RNA (bases 1-46)
Source: RNAcentral